GAGUUUGAGCUCUUUUUUUGGUUGACCUUUAGCCACGCGCGACGGCUAUGCGCAUGUGUCCCAAAGUGACGUAUAUUUUUUGGUAAUGGGUAUACUCGAGAGAAAAGGUUUGGAAUUCGACCUCCCCUUAUACGCUCUAAAAAGGGGUCAUGGACUCCUUUUUUGUUUAGGAUCCCCUUUCUACAUUCAAUUUUUUAUUGAGCCUGGUGUGGAAUCACCAUCAUUACACAUUCAUUCUUGGUCUGGCUGCUGGUCUAGCGAGCCUUCCUAGCCGCCUAGAGUGCAGCUGACGUAUAUUUUUUGGUAAUGGGUAUACUCGAGAGAAAAGGUUUGGAAUUCGACCUCCCCUUAUACGCUCUAAAAAGGGGUCAUGGACUCCUUUUUUGUGGCACUAAUAAAUUUUUAACGUCUAAUUAGAUUGGAAAUCAUUCAAAUUAAGAACAAAAGCUCGUUGCUUUUUCUUUCCCUAUAAU
This 473-nucleotide long non-coding RNA is filed under the name Nicotiana benthamiana. Its description in RNAcentral is "long non-coding RNA (NBEN_LNC034897)". The record is from RNAcentral. Lineage: Eukaryota; Viridiplantae; Streptophyta; Magnoliopsida; Solanales; Solanaceae.